GACGAACGCUGGCGGCGUGCUUAACACAUGCAAGUCGAACGGAAAGGCCCUGCUUUUGUGGGGUGCUCGAGUGGCGAACGGGUGAGUAACACGUGAGUAACCUGCCCUUGACUUUGGGAUAACUUCAGGAAACUGGGGCUAAUACCGGAUAGGAGCUCCUGCUGCAUGGUGGGGGUUGGAAAGUUUCGGCGGUUGGGGAUGAACUCGCGGCUUAUCAGCUUGUUGGUGGGGUAGUGGCUUACCAAGGCUUUGACGGGUAGCCGGCCUGAGAGGGUGACCGGCCACAUUGGGACGGAGAUACGGCCCAGACUCCUACGGGAGGAAGCAGUGGGGAAUAUUGCACAAUGGGCGGAAGCCUGAUGCAGCAACGCCGCGUGCGGGAUGACGGCCUUCGGGUUGUAAACCGCUUUCGCCUGUGACGAAGCGUGAGUGACGGUAAUGGGUAAAGAAGCACCGGCUAACUACGUG
RNAcentral lists this ribosomal RNA (468 nucleotides) under uncultured bacterium. Its description in RNAcentral is "partial 16S ribosomal RNA". It matches the Rfam family "Bacterial small subunit ribosomal RNA", at positions 28 to 507 of the family's 1533-position model. The record is from RNAcentral.